RNAcentral lists this long non-coding RNA (5893 nucleotides) under Equus asinus (donkey). RNAcentral's name for it is "lncRNA (ENSEASG00005032007.1)". Lineage: Eukaryota; Metazoa; Chordata; Mammalia; Perissodactyla; Equidae. The record is from RNAcentral.
AAAGAUGUGUAUGGGUAAUUCCCUGAAAAGGAAAUCUGAGAGGCUAAUAAGCAUAUAAAAGUAUGUUCAAAGGUUCAAAAGGCUGGCUCUGUGGCCUAGUGGUUAAGUUCAGCAUGCUCUGCUUCAGUGGCCUGGGUUUGGUUCCAGGAUGAGGACCUAUACCACUCAUCGGCAGCCAUGCUGUGGUGGCAACCCACAUGCAAAAUAGAGGAAGGUGGCACAGAUGUUAGCUCAGGGCGAAUCUUCCUCAGCAAAAAAAGAAAAAACAAAAAAAAAACCUUCAAUUUACUAUUAAUUAGGUAUAGUGAACAUGUGUCAUUAUCUUUGGGCCAUUCAGCAUCUGAACCUUUCUUUCUGUGUUUGAGAAAUUCCUCCCUUCGAGCGUCUCUUCUCACUAUGGAAGGCAAAACGUCAAAUACUCAUUUCCCAUCUGCACCCACCCAGGCUUACAUCGGAAGCUGGGGUCACGAAGCAGAGCAGCCUCCAGGACGGUGAUGAGUCAUGGCAGCGGCAGCGCCUGCCUCCCCCUUCUGUGGGCUUCCACCAGCACCCGGGGUCGGCUGUCAGCCGUGUCAGUGUGCGCUCUGACAUCUGGGACUAGCAGCGGACCAGCCCGCUCUUGGCAUGAUCUGCACAUUUCUGUCGGCUUAGCUUUGAGCCUGACGGCCGGCCCUCCCGGAGAUUUUAGCUGCUUGUAAGAAUUUCCUUUGCUGCUUAAAUCAGAAAUCUACUUACAUCAGGGAAAUGCAAAUUCAAACCUCAAUGAGAUAGAUACCCUUUCAUGUCCCCGAGAUGAGGAGAAACAGAUAUCCCUCCCCUGCUGGAGUGGGUAUAAAUUGGGAUGGAUACCUUGGAGGACAAUUUGUUAAUGUCUAAAGAAUUGGAAUGCAGGUACCUUAUGACCCGGAAAUUCCACUUCUAGUCCUGUUCUCUAAACCACAGCUCGCGGAGACAACUGCAAGACUCUUCCUUAGGGCACUAUUUAUAACACCAACCCCGCGCCCCCCCCAAACAACCUACUUUGAGGUCAGUGUGGAAUGAAUAAUAAAUUGCAGUAUAUUCAUACAAUGUAUCAACUAGAACAGCACAUACCAAGAUGGAUAGAUCUUGAAAGCGUCACUUUGGGUGAAAAGGACAGGACGUUGCAGAAGGAUAUGCAUAGUGUACGACUGAUAUGCAUUUGAAGACAUAACACGCAAACACAGAAGAGGAGGGGUAAAACACAGAUAAGGUGGUGGCCAUACCCAUGUUAAUAUCCUGGUUGUCAUGUGACAUUGUAGCUUUGCAUCCCUAGGGGCAACUGGGCAAAGAGUAUCAUUUCACAGAAUUGCACAAUCUACAGCGAAAUCAAUAAAACUUCAUUAAAAGAUACCAAACAAUGUAUAUAUAACUUACAGACACAUGGUGGCUUCUUCUGAGGGGAGGAGAGAAAACGGGAUUUACGAAAGACAGAACGGAGGCUUCAAAUCUUUCUUUUUUCUUAGAAAGAUCUUGAGGCAAAUAUGGCAAAAUGUUAACAUUUAAAAAAUCUGGAUGUAGGUGAAUGAGUGUUUGUAUACCUUUCUUUGCAUUAAAAAAUGGCCGAAAGGUUCAAUGAGAUACUGUUCAUCAAUUAUUUAAGGCAGCGCCUGGCUCAUGGCAGGUGCGCAGUGCAUCUCAGAGUGCUCGAUAAUCCCCGAUCCUAUUAGCCAGGAGGGUAAGGGCUGCUGGUGUUUGGCAUAGCUCCAGAGAAGUGUAUUUUUCUUCAACUCAUCCCCCAAUUUUCCCCCUCUGCUGAGGGAUAUAUCAUCACAAACUCUACUUUCCAAUUCUCAUCACUCAUCUUCAUGAAGGACCACAGUGAAGGCAUUACUCUCGAGGUCCCAACACGAUGGAGCGGAGGGGAGGGGAGCACAGUCUGAGGCCAAGCUGCCGGCUGGAUGGGGCUGGAUGCCUCCGCCGUACACGGGGACACCAGCAGCCCUGCCUCAUAGGGUCAUCCUGAGGACCAAGCGAGCUAAAAUGUGUGGCAUCUCAGAACACAGCCUGACAGCGGGGGUUCUGGUUCCCGCAGGGCACAGCUGGGACCAAGGCGGAAACGCUCCCCACCCUGUGGACCCCGUGAUCUUGUCUGAAAGUCAGCAUUUCUGACCCACGUUACAGCUGAGGAAACAGACUCAGAGAACUUGCCCACUUAUGGCACUUGUCCCGGGGCCCAGGGAGGUCAACAAGGACUGUCAGAUCCCUCCCCCGGCCCUGCGUUUGAAGAAGGUCAACAUCUGAGGAGAGAGAGUCAAGCUGGUGGUUGGCUGAAGGCAGAAGGGGGGCUUGGCGGAGUGAGAUGGGGGAAGUUUGGAGGAUCUGGGCCACAUUUGAUCCUCUGGGUCCAUCUUUCCCUCUUCCCUCCCCUCCCAGCUCUGCGAGCUUAGGGACAGCCCCGUUCAGAUAAAACAUCCUGGAGAAAUGUCUGAGAAACUCAUCGGAGAGAAAAUUCCUUCUCAGGCUUCCCACUAUGUUAGGAAUUUCAGAAGGAAGAUGAGUAAAAAAGCAACCCCAGUUCAUUACUGAAAUGGGUGGGCCGAGAUCGCCAUCUGCAGGCGGCAAGUUUCUUCUGCCGACUUGAAUUCUUUCCAUGAUCCCAAAACCCAAAGGGCACCCCCAGAAAUCACCUCCUCCAGCCUCCACGCUUCACCCGAGGGAAGAUCAAGUCCCCGUCAACUCAGCAUCCCACUCAAGAGCACCCCGCCGGCUGGCAGGAGAAUACUUCCAAAAAAGAUGACUUUCAGUAAUUUUUUUUCUUUUUAAUUCAUUUUAUUGUGGUAAAGUACACACAAGAAAAAACUUACCAUCUUAACCAUUUUUUUAAAGAUUUUAUUUUUCCUUUUUCUCCCCAAAGCCCCCCAGUACAUAGUUGUGUAUUUUUAGUUGUGGGUCCUUCUAGUUGUGGCAUGUGGGACACCCCCUCAGCAUGGCUUGAGGAGCGGUGCCACAUCCACACCCAGAAUUCGAACUGGCGAAAUUCGAACUGGGCCUCCGAAGCAGAGUGCGCUAACUUAACCACUUGGUCACAGGCCGGCCCCUUAACCAUGUUCAAGUGUUCAGUUCUGCGGCAUUGAGCACAUUCACGUUGUUGUGCAGCCAUCCCCAGCGUCCAUCUCCAGGACUUUUUCAUCUUCCCAAACUGAAACUCGGUCCCUUUUAAAUUAACUCCUCAGACCCCCAUCCCCAGCCGCCAGCACCCACCCUUCUACUUUCUGUGUCUGUGAAUUUGACUGCUCCAGGUCCCUCACAUAGUAGAAUCAUAUAACGUUUGUCCCUCUGUGACUGGCUUAUUUCACUUAGCACAGUGUCCUCAAGGUUCAUGGACGCUGUAGCAGGUGUCAGAAUCUCUUUCCUCUUUAAGGCUGAACCAUAUUCCGUGGUAUGGACACACUACAUUUUAUUUACCCAUUCGUCUGUCAACAAACACCUGGGUUACUUCCACUUUUUGGAUAUUGUGAAUAAUGCUGCUAUGAACAUUGGUGUGAAAAUAUCUAAGUCUCUAUAAUUUUUAAUGAACUUUUUUUUUUGGAAUUACUUCAGAUUUACAAAAGAGUUGCAAAGAUAAUUCAGAGAGUUCUCGUAAACCCUAAGGUUCACAUCUUACAUGACCAUGUCACGUUUGCCACAACCAAGAAAUUAACAUUAGUACAUUACUAGUCACGAAAUUCCAGACACUAUUUUAAUUUCACCUGCUUUUCCACUAAUGUCUCAUUUCUGUUCCAGGAUGCAACCCAGACUGCUACAUUGUACCCAGUCAAUGAUUUUUUUAAACUGAUAAUUAUGAACACUACACAGCAAUGUGGAAAAAGAACAUUGGUGAUACAGUGUUAAGAGGGGGGCGGGGGGGGGGAAGUAAAUUAGAAGAUUGUAUCUGUGCGAAGCCAGAUAUUGAAUGCAAAUAUUGAAACUAUUUGUGUAGAGCGUGUCACAGUGAUCUGGUGAGGCAGGCAGCACCACUACCUGCCUUUACAGAUGGAGAAGGCGAAGCUGAGGUCACCCCACCCAGGCCACGGGUCCCUGGUGCCCCCCCCGCUGCUGCGGCUGCUGGUGGCUCUCAGCUGCACCUUGCUCUGGCAGAUUGUUCCCAGUCCACACCCUCAGCCCACAGCUGACCCGUACAGGGUACAGUCGGGUCCCUUGUCUCCAGGUUCCAGGCAUCCUCCAGCGCUCCGAGGACCAGGUGAGGCUAGACCUCAGCCCGACUCCUUCCCCACCCUCCUCUGCCCCCUCACUCCCUGCUCUUUCCCCCCAAGGACACUCUCAGCAAGGAUCCCGGGCCCAGGCUCUGCUUCUUGGCGAGUUGGCCUAAGACAUUGACGGAGGUGGCGAAGCAACUGGCUCCCCGGAGGCCCAGCUGGUGGGUGGGAGCCUCGCCGUCUUCAAUGUCUGACUCGAAAUCUACACGCAGACGCCCUCGGUUCCUGCUUCUCACGGGCAAAGCUUAUUCCAAGGGUCAGGGACACGAAUCCGACAACCGACCCUACGCCGAGGCUCCCUAAUGCUGUGCAAUCACCCGGAUGCCGCCAGCACGGCCGAGCGUCACGGGAGCCUGGACUCCGAGGUGGCCACCAGACGAUUCUAAAUUACACACGUGGCUCACAUUCCACUUUUAUUGGAUGGUGCUGAUCUACUCCGUCCUGGGAGUGAGCUAGGCUAUCACUGGAGAGCAAACUUCAUAAAAAGGACAGGAUCCAGCCACGGCCAGGCGGUGGAAUUAUUCUCCUGUCUCCCCAAGGUCCCGAGUCCCUCUGAAGCAGAGUUGUCUCUCCCAUCAUACAGCCACGGUGGAAGCUUUCCUUCGAGGUCUCCGCAGAGAUAAGCUGACCCAGCUCCACAACCAACUUUGGAGAAAAUCCGACCUCAUCUUGUAAAGCUGAAGAUGCCCAACCCCGGAGCCAUCCGUGCCAGUCCCAGGUUCACGUCCCUCAGAUGCGCCCCUGCACACGCAGGACAGCAUCCCUCACGGCAUUGUCUGCAAUGCCCCAAACCCGAAACAACCAAAUUCCCAGCAACCGGGUAACGGAUGCAGAAGCUCGGCUGCAGUGCCCCGCGGAAAGCUCUUCAGCAGCGAAACGAAGGGCUGCCGCUCUGCCUGCGAAAGUGAAUUAACCUCAGAAAGACAACAGAAAAAAGGGCAAAGUCCAGAGUAAUACAGACAAAUAAGGUUCACAAACGUGCAUUAUGUAGUUUGGUGACAUAGAUGUUAUUAUAUAUAUAAAAAAUAUACAUUAGGGGCUGGUCCCGUGGCCGAGUGGUUAGGUUCUCGUGCUCUGCUGGGGCGGCCCAGGGUUCGGAUCCCGGGCGUGGACAUGGCACUGCUCGUCAGGCCACGUUGAGGCGGCGUCCCACAUGCCACAACUAGAAGGACCCACAACUAGAAUAUACAACUAUGUACGGGGGAGUUUGGGGAAAUAAAGCAGAAAAAAUAUUAUAUAUACACUUUAAAUAUAUAUUGUACGUAUACUAAAUAUAUAGAGUUUAUCAUGCCCUUGUUAUCUUUAUAGAUUUAUAAUUUUAUUAUAUAUGUAUAGUAUUUUUACUGUAUAGAGUAUAAAUAUAACUUUUUCUUUUUGAGGAAGACUGGCCCUGAGCUCACAUCCAUGCCCAUCCUCCUCUACUUUAUAUGUGGGACACCUACCACAGCAUGGCUUGACAAGUGGUGCCAGGUCCACACCCAGGAUCCGAACCGAUGAACCCCGGGCCACCGAAGCGGAACGUGUGCACUGAACCGCUGCACGACCAGGCUGGCCCCUAUAAUUUAUAUUAUAUAUAAACUUAUAUAUUAUAAUAUCUAAAUAUAUGUUUACUAUAUAUAGUAUUUUAUCUCUAUAUGUUUACUCUAUAUUUAUCUAUAUAUAUUUAUUAUACAUAG